UUUCUCGAUUUCCCGAUUUCUCAAUUUCUCGAUUUCGCUUUCUCGAUUUCUGGAUUUCCCCGAAAACACGAAAAGGGGAAACGUCCGCAUCCGUCCACCAUACAUAUGUCUCUGUCAUAUAAUAUUCUUAUUUCGUAUGUAUUUGCACGACAUUUCAUGUUGAAUUGAUUAAACAAAUAUUCCAAUCAUUCAGAAUCCUAACC
This 203-nucleotide long non-coding RNA is filed under the name Mytilus galloprovincialis (Mediterranean mussel). Lineage: Eukaryota; Metazoa; Mollusca; Bivalvia; Mytilida; Mytilidae. The record is from RNAcentral.